CUUCUUUGUAUUUUAAAGUAUACAGUUGUUUUCAUAUUGUAUCUCUUUGCAGAAUAUGAGCUUAUUGACAAAAAGAAGAAAAAAAUGAGGAAGGAAAUGAAGAAUAAACUCCUUAGAUUUGACAUGGAGAGGGUAGGAAAAAGGACAGGCAAAGAGUUAUUGACAUAAAUUUGCCCCUAACAUGCUGUGAUCACACAGCACUGAAUUUGGAAUCAGUCAUUCAUGACCUCAUAGCAACUGUGUUCACUGCUAUCCAUCACAUUCCCUCUCCAGGCUUUUGGUGACUUUUCCUAUUCUUAACAUCCUUUACGAUGGAAUGGCCAAUUUCUCAGUGAAAUUUAAACCCUGCUAGUAUCCAUGUCAAGGCAAAACACCCUGGUGAUUCUAAGAAGGGAAUGUUAGGAGAACUCCCUCCUAUUCAAAAGUCUCUGCUUAAAGAACUCAUAAAAUAAUGAGGAAGACAAAAUGAAGGAAAAGGAACAAAGAAAUCUUAUGCAAAAACAAGAUUACAACAACAACACAACACACAAUAAAAGAUAAUCUCAUAGAGAAAGCAAUAAUAAGAUGCAAGAGGAGAAAACAAAGAAUACAGUACAAAAGUCUCAUGAACUGCACUGCCCUCAAGAUCAUUGAUCUUUCACCCAAGCUAGCACCCACAGGGAAACUACUGAGGGAAAACAAUCUUUGCAGAGAAAAGGCUCAAUAUGUUCCCCCAACAGCACAACUGAUGAUUAGAUAAAGCAAAGAACCCUGGAAUAGCGAUGUCACCUGAACCUCCAGCCCUGCUACCAGUGCAGACCAUAGGUAUUGACUAGCUAAACAACUCCCAAGGAAUUGUGAAUUGUUAACUUCCUGGGCUAAUGUUACAAUCCUUGUAUUCCCAAAAAACAUAGACACUGAAGAACCAGAAAAUGAAAAAAUAAUGUCAUAAAAGAAAGUUAUUCUCAUACAAUAUUUUGGCUCUAUCAGAUGGGUUAAACAGAUUAUAAUAUCUCUUCCUUAAUGUUACAUAGAAAUACACACACCAC
Long non-coding RNA from Sarcophilus harrisii (Tasmanian devil), 1028 nucleotides. RefSeq lists it as uncharacterized. The record is from RefSeq and is a predicted model, not a curated record. Lineage: Eukaryota; Metazoa; Chordata; Mammalia; Dasyuromorphia; Dasyuridae. The transcript is spliced from 3 exons.